CAUCUUACCGGGCAGCAUUAGAAUGUGUUAGAGCUCUAAUACUGUCAGGUAAAGAUGUC
Molecule: microRNA precursor, 59 nt
Filed under: Blattella germanica (German cockroach)
Lineage: Eukaryota; Metazoa; Arthropoda; Insecta; Blattodea; Blattellidae
Description: Bge-Mir-8_pre stem-loop
Rfam family: mir-8/mir-141/mir-200 microRNA precursor family
About the family: The bounds of the precursors are predicted based on conservation and base pairing and are not generally known.
Source: RNAcentral